This 497-nucleotide ribosomal RNA is filed under the name uncultured bacterium. Its description in RNAcentral is "partial 16S ribosomal RNA". It matches the Rfam family "Bacterial small subunit ribosomal RNA", at positions 28 to 507 of the family's 1533-position model. The record is from RNAcentral.
GAUGAACGCUGGCGGCGUGCCUAAUACAUGCAAGUCGAGCGAAAAGACGAGGAGCUUGCUCCUCUGACGUUAGCGGCGGACGGGUGAGUAACACGUGGAUAACCUACCUAUAAGACUGGGAUAACUUCGGGAAACCGGAGCUAAUACCGGAUAAUAUAUUGAACCGCAUGGUUCAAUAGUGAAAGACGGUUUUGCUGUCACUUAUAGAUGGAUCCGCGCCGCAUUAGCUAGUUGGUAAGGUAACGGCUUACCAAGGCAACGAUGCGUAGCCGACCUGAGAGGGUGAUCGGCCACACUGGAACUGAGACACGGUCCAGACUCCUACGGGAGGCAGCAGUAGGGAAUCUUCCGCAAUGGGCGAAAGCUUGACGGAGCAACGCCGCGUGAGUGAUGAAGGUCUUCGGAUCGUAAAACUCUGUUAUUAGGGAAGAACAAAUGUGUAAGUAACUAUGCACGUCUUGACGGUACCUUAUCAGAAAGCCACGGCUAACUACGUG